This 253-nucleotide ribosomal RNA is filed under the name uncultured bacterium. RNAcentral describes it as "partial 16S ribosomal RNA". It matches the Rfam family "Bacterial small subunit ribosomal RNA", at positions 524 to 776 of the family's 1533-position model. The record is from RNAcentral.
UACGUAGGUGGCGAGCGUUAUCCGGAAUUACUGGGCGUAAAGCGCACGCAGGCGGCUCUUUAAGUUUGACGUGAAAGCUCCCGGCUUAACUGGGAGAGGUCGUUGAAGACUGGGGGGCUUGAGGCAAUGAGAGGGGUGUAGAAUUCCCGGUGUAGUGGUGGAAUGCGUAGAUAUCGGGAGGAAUACCAGUGGCGAAAGCGGCACCCUAGCAUUAGCCUGACGCUCAUGUGCGAAAGCGUGGGGAGCAAACGGG